GGUUGACCUGCCGGACCUGACUGCUAUCGGUUUGGUACUAAGCCAUGCGAGUCGUUGUAGCAAUACAAGGCGGACUGCUCAGUAACACGUAGUUAACUUAACCUAUGGAUGGGAAUAACCUCGGGAAACUGAGAAUAAUACCCAAUAGACCACAGUGCCUGGAAUGGCCUGUGGUUGAAAUGAUUUAUCGCCGUAGGAUAGGACUGCGGCCUAUCAGCUUGUUGGUGAGGUAAUGGCCCACCAAGGCUAUAACAGGUACGGGCUCUGAGAGGAGGGGCCCGGAGAUGGGUACUGAGACACGGACCCAGGCCCUAUGGGGCGCAGCAGGCGAGAAACCUUUGCAAUGUGCGAAAGCACGACAAGGUUAAUCCGAGUGUCUCCUGCUAAAGGAGUCUUUUGUCAGUUGUAGAAUCACUGGUGAAUAAGGGGUGGGCAAGUUCUGGUGUCAGCCGCCGCGGUAAAACCAGCACCUCGAGUGGUCAGGAGGUUUAUUGGGCCUAAAGCAUCCGUAGCCGGUUGCAUAAGUUUUCGGUUAAAUCUAUGCGCUUAACGUAUAGGCCGCCGAAAAUACUGUGCAGCUAGGGAGUGGGAGAGGUACACGGUACUCGAUAGGAAGGGGUAAAAUCCUCUGAUCUAUUGAAGAACACCUGUUG
Molecule: ribosomal RNA, 653 nt
Filed under: uncultured archaeon
Lineage: Archaea
Description: bacterial SSU rRNA
Rfam family: Archaeal small subunit ribosomal RNA
Source: RNAcentral